This 78-nucleotide transfer RNA is filed under the name Burkholderiaceae bacterium. RNAcentral describes it as "tRNA-Pro". It matches the Rfam family "tRNA". From Rfam's summary of the family: Transfer RNA (tRNA) molecules are approximately 80 nucleotides in length. Their secondary structure includes four short double-helical elements and three loops (D, anti-codon, and T loops). Lineage: Bacteria; Pseudomonadati; Pseudomonadota; Betaproteobacteria; Burkholderiales; Burkholderiaceae. The record is from RNAcentral.
CGGCGAGCGGGAAAGCCUGGUUAAUCCGCCUGCUUCGGGAGCAGGAGACCGCGAGUUCGAAUCUCGCCUCGCCGACCA